Molecule: ribosomal RNA, 484 nt
Filed under: uncultured bacterium
Lineage: Bacteria
Description: partial 16S ribosomal RNA
Rfam family: Bacterial small subunit ribosomal RNA
Source: RNAcentral
GACGAACGCUGGCGGCGUGCUUAACACAUGCAAGUCGGACGAUGAAGCCGGAGCUUGCUCUGGUGAAUUAGUGGCGAACGGGUGAGUAACACGUGAGUAACCUGCCCUUGACUCUGGGAUAACUGCGGGAAACUGUAGCUAAUACCGGAUACGACCCUCGGAGGCAUCUCCUGGGGGUGGAAAGAAUUUCGGUCAAGGACGGACUCGCGGCCUAUCAGCUAGUUGGUGAGGUAAAGGCUCACCAAGGCGGCGACGGGUAGCCGGCCUGAGAGGGUGACCGGCCACACUGGGACUGAGACACGGCCCAGACUCCUACGGGAGGCAGCAGUGGGGAAUAUUGCACAAUGGGCGCAAGCCUGAUGCAGCAACGCCGCGUGAGGGAUGACGGCCUUCGGGUUGUAAACCUCUUUUAGCAGGGAAGAAGCGAAAGUGACGGUACCUGCAGAAAAAGCACCGGCUAACUACGUGCCAGCCGCCGCCGUAA